This 274-nucleotide ribosomal RNA is filed under the name uncultured bacterium. RNAcentral describes it as "partial 16S ribosomal RNA". It matches the Rfam family "Bacterial small subunit ribosomal RNA", at positions 523 to 796 of the family's 1533-position model. The record is from RNAcentral.
AUACGGAGGGGGCAAGCGUUGUUCGGAAUUACUGGGCGUAAAGCGCGCGUAGGCGGGCUGGUUAGUUGGGGGUGAAAUCCCAGGGCUUAACCCUGGAACUGCCUCCAAUACUGCCAGUCUAGAGUUCGAGAGAGGUGAGUGGAAUUCCUAGUGUAGAGGUGAAAUUCGUAGAUAUUAGGAAGAACACCAGUGGCGAAGGCGGCUCACUGGCUCGAUACUGACGCUGAGGUGCGAAAGCGAGGGGAGCAAACAGGAUUAGAUACCCUAGUAGUCC